UCUGACUCUUUGCAACCCCAUGGACUGUAGCCUAUCAGGCUCCUCCGUCCAUGGGAUUUUCCAGGCAAGAGUACUGGAGUGGGUUGCCAUUUCCUUUUCCAAUUACCAUGCAAGAUGAAAGACAAAUAGAACCUCAAGAGUUGCACUUUGUUCCAUGGAUAGGACUCCAAGGGGUGAAAUCCUUUUCAAGUUGCAUAACUUGUUAACUGACUAUGUCUAGAGCUCAGUUGUUUUUGUUUUUUUUUUCUUUUGCCUCCUUCUGAGCACAGUUUUCCUAGUCUGUACCUUUUCAUCUCCAAAACCCUAAACUUGAACAAUUCUCCUCUAAAUUGACUUUUGGAAUUUUGCUUCUUCAGGCUACCCUUGAAUUAAAUUCCCACAUGGUAAUACCCCUCCCCUUCCAUAUUUUUAGGAGCAACGACCUCCUUCUCAUUGGAAAAGACUCUGAUGCUGGGAAAGAUUGAAGGCAGGAGGAGAAGGGAAUGACAGAGGAUGAGGUAGUUGGAUGGCAUCACUGACUCAAUGGACAUGGAGAUCAAUUACAGAAAUAUUCUCAACCCUUAGAAGGGACAACGGAACUCUCCUCCUGGUGGUCAUCACAGAAAGAGUAGCCCAAAAAGAAUCUGACCAGACAUGGGUUUGAUCCCUGAUCCAGGAAGAUCCCACAUGCUGCUAAGCCUGCGCACCACAACCACUGAGCCC
Molecule: long non-coding RNA, 702 nt
Organism: Cervus elaphus (red deer)
Lineage: Eukaryota; Metazoa; Chordata; Mammalia; Artiodactyla; Cervidae
Exons: 3
Source: RefSeq, a predicted model, not a curated record